Molecule: transfer RNA, 82 nt
Filed under: Parasporobacterium paucivorans DSM 15970
Lineage: Bacteria; Bacillati; Bacillota; Clostridia; Lachnospirales; Lachnospiraceae
Rfam family: tRNA
About the family: Transfer RNA (tRNA) molecules are approximately 80 nucleotides in length. Their secondary structure includes four short double-helical elements and three loops (D, anti-codon, and T loops).
Source: Rfam by way of RNAcentral
GGAUGGAUUCCCGAGUGGCUAAAGGGGGCAGACUGUAAAUCUGUUGACUGCGUCUUCGAAGGUUCGAAUCCUUCUCCAUCCA